This 253-nucleotide ribosomal RNA is filed under the name uncultured bacterium. RNAcentral describes it as "partial 16S ribosomal RNA". It matches the Rfam family "Bacterial small subunit ribosomal RNA", at positions 524 to 776 of the family's 1533-position model. The record is from RNAcentral.
UACAGAGGAUGCAAGCGUUAUCCGGAAUGAUUGGGCGUAAAGAGCUCGUAGGCGGUUUGUCGCGUCGGCCGUGAAAGUCCGGGGCUCAACUCCGGAUCUGCGGUGGGUACGGGCAGACUAGAGUGAUGUAGGGGAGACUGGAAUUCCUGGUGUAGCGGUGAAAUGCGCAGAUAUCAGGAGGAACACCGAUGGCGAAGGCAGGUCUCUGGGCAUUAACUGACGCUGAGGAGCGAAAGCAUGGGGAGCGAACAGG